This 175-nucleotide small nuclear RNA is filed under the name Suricata suricatta (meerkat). RNAcentral's name for it is "U2 spliceosomal RNA (ENSSSUG00005018913.1)". The stretch from base 1 to 91 matches the Rfam family "U2 spliceosomal RNA". From Rfam's summary of the family: U2 is a small nuclear RNA (snRNA) component of the spliceosome (involved in pre-mRNA splicing). Lineage: Eukaryota; Metazoa; Chordata; Mammalia; Carnivora; Herpestidae. The record is from RNAcentral.
AUCGCUUCUCGGCUUUUUGGCUAAGAUCUAGUAUCUGUUCUUAUCAGUUUAAUAUUGCCAGAGGGUGUUUCUAUAUCCUUUAUUACCCCUCCUGUCCCCUUGAUCUAGCCCUUGAGAUCCAUUCACAGGAUUACUUAUGGUUCUGCUGGUAUAUAUCAGCCAGGACCUACAGCUC